Sorex araneus (European shrew) is the source of this 1372-nucleotide long non-coding RNA. RefSeq lists it as uncharacterized. Lineage: Eukaryota; Metazoa; Chordata; Mammalia; Eulipotyphla; Soricidae. The record is from RefSeq and is a predicted model, not a curated record. The transcript has 4 exons.
CUUUUGCAAAUUAAAAAAAAAGGGGGGGGGAAGAAAGAAAAAAGCUCUGCCUCUGCCUCUCAAUUUAUUUGCCUACUCUCUGGCUGAUUUGGUGAUUGAUUAAGGAAAAUGGAAAAAUCUCACAUCAGAUGAUUCCAUAGAUGAAUGGUACAUGUGCAAUAAUAAAUAAUAGGCACAAUGUGAAUGAAAGAGGAAAUGGACAGAUGCAGCAAAGGAAACAACGUUCCUUUGAAGAUGGAAGACAUAAAUCAGGAUAAAUUUUAAAUUGAUGAGACGUCUAACACUGGAGAAGGAAUCUACUUCCUGUGGUAAAGGAUCCCCCACUCUUCUUAAAUGGAGGAAAGAGGCAAAAACCCACAUCCCAGCAGAUCAACUGAGGCAUCCACUCUGCCUCUUCAGAACAGGUGUUUGGAGAGGAGGGGAAUGAACCUAAAUUUUGAAAAUGCUCAGCCAUGGAAAAGCAGAAGUCACUGACAGAAACAGCGAUGACUGCAAGCUCUUGAACAGGGAAGGUGAUGAGUCACAAAAGGAAACAUGUAAUUAAGAAAGCUUCUUGCCCAGGAGCAUGUGGAGGGAGAGUUGGAUGAAGAACAUACAGCAAGAAUUUAGAUGCAACAGCCAUACUGGAGGCUGGUGGAACAGUGUGGUGGAGUGAAUGGAGACUUCUGGAUGCCUCAGUGGCACUCCACAGGCUCUGGAAGAUCCUAUCUUUCUAAGAGGUGAUGAGGUGUGGUUUCAGCGUAUUCCAACUUUGGACUCAUUAAUUCCCACCAAUAAAGGUGAAAAAAACUGAUCGAUAGUCCCCGAACAUAUUCUAAAUGUCUGCGAAGACCUUGAAAAGACUGACAGAGAACCCUCCUGAAGCUAUUUGUGACACUGUGCUCAGAGACGUGGCCUGAGUGUGCAAGGCCUGAGGGUGCCACAGGAGAAGGGAACACCAUGUCAUUGCCACUAUGCACACUUGUCACCAAAAUGCAGGAGAGGAGGAGGCCCCUGGCAUGGGCGGGGCAGGUGGAGGUGACAUGUUCUAAUUCCCAAAAUAGCAUAUGAUUACCCGUAAUGAACUGUUACAGGAAGUUCAGAGCUGUGUUCUCACCAACAACCUCAGAGAAGUCACUUGGAACAAAAGUCUAAAGAAAACAUUCUAGGGUUCAGUCAUAUGGGCUUCCGUUGAUGAGGUACACGUUGGUUUGAAGCCGACGUUGUCUUUGCCCACACAGAAUACAUAUUGCAUUUUUGAAUCUGAAGACAAAGACUAGUGAAUGUUCCUUUUUUAUUAAUUUUCUGAAAGCCAACUAUUUUAUAAAGUGAAUUUGGAAGCCUGAGGGCGGGUUGUCUUCCUUCUCUCACAGACCCACCCCAGCCUGAUCUC